RNAcentral lists this long non-coding RNA (370 nucleotides) under Lupinus angustifolius (narrow-leaved blue lupine). RNAcentral's name for it is "long non-coding RNA (LANG_LNC000158)". Lineage: Eukaryota; Viridiplantae; Streptophyta; Magnoliopsida; Fabales; Fabaceae. The record is from RNAcentral.
GAUAACACUCGGGAUUCCGACGAUGGGCGGAGGAGCUUGUGUUCCUUAAGAUGCGGUUGAACAGGGAGGAGCAGCGCCUCCAAUGGCUCCAUCAAUGAGUAAUGAGGGACACCGUCAUAUGGCCAUGGUUCAGCUUCAUGGUUCUUCGGUUCUGAUGGAUGAUGGUGAGUAGGAUGAACCACCGAACCGAUUGCUUCUUCUUCAUCUUCUCCGGUCAUCGCUGACGCGGUUUCGGUGGUCUCACGGUGGUUAGGGAAGUCCAAGAUGGGUAUAUACAGGCCAAAACGAAGACUAGUAUGGUUUUACUAAGCAUAUAUAGUUGAUUAAUCUUUGAACAAUUAUAUGCGCUUACUGAAAUAGGAUGAUUUUU